Molecule: long non-coding RNA, 1145 nt
Organism: Acanthochromis polyacanthus (spiny chromis)
Lineage: Eukaryota; Metazoa; Chordata; Actinopteri; Pomacentridae
Exons: 2
Source: RefSeq, a predicted model, not a curated record
GAGCAUAAAUGUUCUCGCAUUUCCAGACAAUUAUCAUUUUGAGCGGUACCGUUUCGUAAUCGUUUCAAGUCCAUAAUCUACAUAAACAACCUAAUCCGUCCUUACAUUUACAUUACCAACCAGUCAUGCUCUCACAUCCAGCAGAUAUUGUGUGUUGCGCUGCGGUUCUUUGCAAAUGGAAGUUUUUAUAUGAUGUCGGAGAUGCAGAGUAAGACAACUGUAUGGAGGACAGUCAGAAAGGUUUUCCUGGCUCUGAAACGACUUUUACCAUCAUUGUGGACACAAACCUGUCAGAGCAUCAAGGAGGAGCUCCACAGGAUUGCAGGUGAAUGAUGUAGAGAUCUGUUACAUUCAUUUUAAAUCAUAUUCUGUUCAUGACAUUGUGCUGCAGCCUCAGACUGGGAUUAGUCAUUUGAAUUUCUUUUAGGAUUUCCCAGUGUGAUUGGCUGCAUAGAUGCACACACAUCCCCAUCACAGCUCCCUCACAUCAUGAACAGGAAGUCCAUUCACAGCAUAAAUGUGCAGGUAGGCUACAGGUAGACUGACUACUGUUUCUAAAUGUUAAAGACUGCAUCAUAGUUCAACAUCUGUCAUUCUCUGCACUGUCCAGAUCAUAUGUGAUGCUGCAUACAUCAUUUCUAAUGUGGAGGCCACGUGGUCUGGGUCUGUUCAUGACUCCAGGAUUUAUGGAGAGUCUAACCUGAGCAACAGACUGCAGCAUGGAGAGUUUGAUGUCCUUCUGCUGGGUGACAGGGGUUACCAUGACAACCCAGGCUGAUGACCUCAUACCCUGACCCUGAACCAGGCCCCCAACAGAACUUCAACCGGGCUCACUGCAGGACCAGAGCCCUGGUGGAGAUGACCAUAGGCCUGCUGAAAGCCCGUUUCCAGAGCCUACGUCUCCUCAGGGUGACCCCUGAGAGGGCCUGUGAUAUUACUGUGGCAUGUGUUGUUCUUCAUAAUAUUACCACUAUUAGAGGAGAGCAACACCCUGCCCUACAAACUGAAGACCCAGAUGAUGAGCCCAUCCACCUGCAGCUAUCCAGGACAGCAGAGCAGUCAGAGACACCGUAUGCAAGAAUCACUUUAGAGUUUAAGUCUCCAUCAUCACCACCACAGCAAAUAAAGACAUGAUACACAUUUCA